Molecule: microRNA, 23 nt
Filed under: Apis mellifera (honey bee)
Lineage: Eukaryota; Metazoa; Arthropoda; Insecta; Hymenoptera; Apidae
Description: ame-miR-3730-5p
Source: miRBase by way of RNAcentral
ACAACGAGGGUGAAGAUUGCGUG